This is a non-coding RNA of Devosia riboflavina, 57 nucleotides long. The record is from Rfam. Lineage: Bacteria; Pseudomonadati; Pseudomonadota; Alphaproteobacteria; Hyphomicrobiales; Devosiaceae.
GGGCAAUGCCGGGCCCCUCUGGUCAUGGGUUCUCCAUGGCGAUGUCGGAAUUGCUCC